Molecule: long non-coding RNA, 251 nt
Filed under: Drosophila guanche
Lineage: Eukaryota; Metazoa; Arthropoda; Insecta; Diptera; Drosophilidae
Source: RNAcentral
CCCAAGAGCUCGCAUCAAUUAUCGCUUGAACAAUUUGUGGGAAAACUGUACAAAAAUGUGUAAAAGAAACGAUCGCGUUGCCUCGUGUCUCUUCGCGAAGACGCCAUUUUGUAUGGGGUCUACUAAGAACCGUUGCCCUGAACAGCAUGGCGCUAGCGAUCUACGAAAGAUGAUAGCCUGAUAAUGCAUCAUUCUUGGACUCCAUUUAUUUCGUUUCCAUGGAAAAGAUGCACUGGGGAGUGGGCGCAAAG